Long non-coding RNA from Harpia harpyja (harpy eagle), 2742 nucleotides. RefSeq lists it as uncharacterized. Lineage: Eukaryota; Metazoa; Chordata; Aves; Accipitriformes; Accipitridae. The record is from RefSeq and is a predicted model, not a curated record. The transcript is spliced from 3 exons.
CCACUGUCAGCUGGUUCAGUCACCUUCCUCUGCUAGCCUACAAUACAACUACCAGUCUACAGCAAAGGGAGAUACAUUUUGUUUAGAAUAGACUAUGAUUAUUGUACUUGGUAAAGUGCAGAGAUAAUGCAGUAGCUCAAACUAUUCUCAAAUGACUAAAACCAGAGUUAAAAUACAAUCUUUCUUUGGAAGGACAGCUGUCUGCCAUGCUCCUGCUGUAAGACAGUGGGAUUUGUAUGGACUCAAAAGGACAGAUAUCACUUACUGACAGGUAAUUGCUUUCUGCAGAUAGCUGACUCUUUUCCUUGGAGGUCUCCUUUUUCUACAUAAUGUCCAUUCAUGGUCUAAAGCAGCAGGGUUGCAGACAGUAAUUGGUUGAUUAUGCAUUAAUGUUUAAUUUAUGGAACAGUACCUAUAUAUUUGUAAAGAACAACUUUUACGUCUGUUGAAUGUUGUCAGAGUUCAAAUAUUAGUAUGUAGCAUUUCAGAAACACAUUCACUGAACUGAAAUGGCUUUUCGCAAAAACACAGAAAGAUGAGAAUGUCUAUUAAAAGAGAACAGCUUAGCAAAACCUUUUUCACUGAACCCUUCUAUCGAGCUUUUGUUCAGCCAUAGGCUGUGCGAUGCAGUUCGAGUCAUUCUGUAACGCUGACCUGUGUCUUUUGCAAUGGCUUAGGUCAUCCUGUUCAUCAUCUGAGCACCUUUCUUUGGUGGUCCUGCCAGCAGCAGUGGGGAAAUGAAAGAGAAGAUUGAACUCUCCAAACUAUUCUGAACAUGGCUUGGCCCAGGGCAAAGUUCCUCAAUAGUAACUUUCCUAUCACAGAGUCAUCUGAGAACCUACUUGCUACUGUCUUGCUCUUAUUAGGCCUCCUUAUCUUUAUGGACAGUGCUGUCAAAGCUGCCCUUCUGGUUUGGGGAUACCUGAGCCUGUUCCUGAAGAGACUCUUCCUCCAUGGUAUCACCAAAGGUUACUUGCAUCAUUGAAACGGAUCAUUCUGUGACCACUAGAGCUGAUGGUCUGCUUCUAUGUAACUAGUGUAGCCAGCAAAGGAAGUAGAGCUUACUCAGCAUCCCCAGUUCCAAAAUAUUUCAGAAGAGGAAAAAGUCCUAUGGAAAGAUUCCUACUGAAGCAAAAGCCUAUUCAAAAAGCAGUCCCAAUUAGGACAUCCUCUACUCAAAUAUUUUGUUACAAGUGGCCCAAAGAGUAAGAAUUUUUAUUUUUUAAUUCUUGUUGCAGCAGCAGCUCUGAGUUAAGCAAUGGUCAUGGUGUGUUCAGGGCAUCAAAGCAGAAAAUCUGAGACAAAGGGCCCAGAUGCAGAAUUUCCUGCUAUAACCUAAACCAAAUGCCACUGAAUGCAGCUUCCCUCAAGAUCUCCCAGCUACGCUACUGUUCACAGCCUUGCUGGUGGCCAGCAUCCAGACUGAGCAUUAGUAAAACUAACAAACCAAACAGUUCCCACAGUAAGUCCCUUGCUUUCCAGCUAACUUAUUUAACUGCGGAGCUUCUAAGAGGGAUGUUUCAUCUACUGUUGUUGCAAUAACCAGUAAGCGGGUAUCCAUGACAAAACCAAAGGGCACUGCCCUACAGCAAUGAAGUCUUGGCUAAGCAGCAGCAGAAACCGAAAAAGGUCAGAGCUCCACAGUAGCCCUGCUCCAUUUUAAAAAUAAAGCCCAUCAGUUUCCUGAGAAAUGAUGAAGGAGGUUCUUCAAUGGCUUUCAGAUCAGACCUGGGAUGUCUCAACACAAUUCUCCCAAAGACACCAGGGGAAGAAAGGGAAAUGCUCAGACAAGUAUACAAGGAGAGCACCGCAGAGCUUCACUGACAUUCAUUCCACCGCUCCCUGCCAAGGGAGGGACAAGAACAGAAAAGACUUUGCGGCUUUGCAGAGAGCAAGGAACCGGGCUAGCUUUUCCCUGCAACGAAUUUGCUAUUCUUUCCCCAUCUCUCUGUCCUGUCCUUGUGCUCCCAGAGGUACAACUCCCUUUGCCAUAAUUUGUUUUUCUUCCUUUACACGGGGACCAUUUCUACACAGUUCUGUACCUGGAUGGUCUUGCAGUGCCACCUUCUCUAAGAUUUUCAGUGGAAUCCAGGACACUUGGUUUGGUGAUCUGCAGCUGCUCCAUUUCAUGUCUUGGAUAAUGCUGCUGAAGUCCACCAGAAGGAGCCUUUGUGUAUCAGUUUUGCAUAAGCCUCGAUGAAUAUAUUAACAUGUAAGUAAAAAGCCAGUGAGUUCUCUUAACUAUGUUGAGUUACCAUAAAAUUAAUCUUCCCAGUCUGUAUGAGAACAGGAUGCUCUGGCUUGCAAUACAAAUCCUAUACAUUAAGAAUAUGGAUGGUUGUACACAGCUCCUAAAGAUGACUUUUCUCCCAGCCUCCUCAUUGAUCGACCAGUGUAGUUUUAUUUCUUAAUAACUACAAAGAACUAAAUACAGCCCUACAAUAGCACGUAUCGGAUACGCGUUCCCCUUUUUGUUUGCAGUCUGCUCUCAGAUUGGUGCUAAGCAUUGUCCAGCAUUCCCCAAGGCAGCUUCGUACUUUGAGAUACGCCUAUCUCUGCGGGAGCUCUCUUUGACCACAGAAACUUGAAAUGUACUCUUCUCAGGUACUCUUAUCAUGGUAGUAAAAGCACAGGAAGGUGUCGGCAAACUAGUUCUGCCAAACUCCUGUAGUUUUGAUCCGAUGGCUGGAUUUAAUCUGUUGGUGUUUUGGGGAAGAUGACUGCUUAUCACGAGAGCGAGGG